This is a long non-coding RNA of Numida meleagris (helmeted guineafowl), 2833 nucleotides long. RefSeq lists it as uncharacterized. The record is from RefSeq and is a predicted model, not a curated record. The transcript has 3 exons. NCBI's taxonomy places the organism in Eukaryota, Metazoa, Chordata, Aves, Galliformes, Numididae.
GGGCCGGGCGGGGGGCGCGGAGGCCGCAGUCGCACUGCCCCCCGCGGCGGGGCGGGCCGGAGCAGGGCUCUUCUCGCCUCCCCUCCGCCGCCGGCUUUCCCGGGAUCCCGUGCCCUCCGAGUUGCCCCCCUGGCUGGGGCCGGGUCGAUGUGCUGUGCCCUUUUGCAGAGUGGACGGCACGGUGCGGCUUCCCUUUGGCAAACGUGCUCCCGCAUCCCUGCUCUAAAUGGAGAUGGGGAGGCGGGAGUGGGGUCUACAGCCUGACCGGUGCGAGGACUUCAGCCUAGAUGCUCCUCUGCCUUCUGCCCCUGAGCGGGGCAGUCCGGGACAAGCCCCUCCGGCGGGAGACGGGGCGCGGCAAAGCAGCGGUCCCGCCGGGGCCGGUGGUGGGGGCGCGGGGCCGGGCCGAGCCGCUGUGCCCUGGGGCGCCCGCAGCCGCCGCCGGGAGCCCGUCAGAGAGCACAGCGGGGACACAGCCGCUGCUGAACGGAGGGGUAUCGCGUUUCCUCUCUGCGGCGGGAACCGCUGUUUUGGGGGAAGGGGGGGACUGCAAUGGGGAGCGUGAGGCUGAUGCAGGGGGAAAGCGGUGACUUCGCCCUUUCUCUCUCCGCUCCUUAUCUCCGCGGCUAUCGCCGGGAGUAGAGAGAACGGCAGAUAAAGCGGUGCUGUUGGCAUCGGGACCCCGAGAGCUGCUAGCAGCGGCUGCUGCGUAACCCCGUUCCUCGGUCUCUCCCAUCGCUGCCCCGCUCGGAGCUGUGAAAUAUCCGUACCAUAAAAUGUAGGGGAUUUAAAGGGCGGUGGGAAUGUCUCUUUGAAAAGGGCUCUGGGAAAAGUCUUUCUAAUCCAGGAUACUUGAGCCGGAUGGGAUGGGAUUGCCGGAGAGGCAUAACAUAAAAGUAACGCGGCGGGCGAGUUGCGGGGCUGCGCGGGCACGGGGAGAGCGCGUUCCCCUCGGGUCGAGUUCGGGUUCGGGUUUGUUGGGGAUGGAGCCUUCCCGCGUGCCGGUGCGCAUGGGGACAGUUCCGAUAUUACUGAAAUGUGUGGAAGGAGCUCGUUCCAGAGCAAGGCUCUGGCGUGCAGUGCCGUGUUUAUGUCGCUCAUCCCGAGGAGAUAUCGGUGGCAAAAUUCAGGCCGACAUCAGCCCGGCCGAGCGGGGCCGCGCAGCUGCGGGGCGGUGGGAGCGGGAGCGGGGCCGGGAGGGCCGCAGCGCCGGAACUGGGAGCGGUGGGCCGGAACGGCUCCUGGGGGGCUCCGUGCGCCCCUCCGAGGUCUUGAGUCUGUGGAAUGGAUAGGGAGGCAAACGGUCCUCAUCGGCUCUGGAAACCUGAGAUUACUCAGCCCUCCAUUUGACCAAACUGCAUUUAGUUCAGUAGAUCUGGGACUGUAAGAUCAGCCCGGAGCUGUUUUUAAACCGAAGCUAAUAAAUAAAUAAAUAAAUAAAUAAAUAAAAAGAGCCUGUUCAUCAAAGACGAAUGGUGUGUGGCAUUUCACUGCUGCAGCUCCUGCCCAGGGGUUUCUCUGUGCAACUUCCUGUAGACAGAAAAUUUUCACUCUCAGAAUAGUAAAUAAAUUGGGGAAGGGGGAGGUAAACUCAUGCUGCUCUCUCUAUAUCCGAACUAAGACUUUAAGGUAAUAUUAUUUAAUAAAGAGCUGAUAAGAUGCUUACAGUGGCACUCUGGUCACACAAGUAGCCACUCUGGUCACACAAGUAGCCGUGUGAACAGGACAGCUGAAUGCUACCCCCUUUGUUGUUCUUCUCUAGACUGGAAAUAGUUUGUGUAAGUGAACAAAAGGGUCAUUACUUUGCCUUCCCAACUUGGGAAGCCUAGUAGAGAUAUACAGGCCGUGGCCGACUUCUGAUACAUAAUUUGGAAAUGAAACAUAGUGUCAAACAUGAGAUCCUUAUUUUUCAGGUGCUCCUCAGGGGAUGGAUCACACAGAUGAGACUUCUGCUGCUGAGGCAUCUGUGGCAGCCAGUGAGGAGGGCCGGAGGGCUGCAGCACUCACCCUGCGCAGACCUUGCACAAUCCUACACAUUACUGUUUGAAUCUAUGCCUAGAGCAACAGCGAUCUACUAGUAAAAAGCUCAGCAUUGCCAUGGAAGUCUCGGUGUAGUUUGGAUGUAAAUAGCCUGGAAUUGAGCUCCCUCAGAGUGAGCAGCAGUGGGAUCGGCAGAGGAUACAAGCGCAUGGCCAAACACUGUUGGUUCUCGUGUCAUGGACAGCGGAGCUGAGGGAGUUCAACUGAAGUGGUUGUGAAGACCUCAGUAGCUACAAUGAUACUGUUAAUUUUGAAUGAGGUGACUGAUAUUCCUUCUAGGAAAAAUAGACCUUUGGGAUCAGCAGAUGUUGUAGUACUGCACUGAGUUUGUUUGAAACUCCAGCUCAGGAGAUUCUUGACCCCAAGGGUCAAAGUGAAUGAAGAUCUUGUCCUACUACAGUUCCCUGUAGACAUGCAUCCACUACAGUCUAACUCAGCAGGACAGACCAAGGGUUGACAAAAAUGGACGGGAUUGGAUCUCCUGUCCUGAAAAUGUUGACAUGCACUACUUACAGCUGUUUCAGCUUUUAUUAAAAAUGAAGGUCUUUCUUGGUUUUCUGGCCUCAAUGAUGUACGCUGCUAUGAGCUGUGCAGGGCCUGGUCUCAGUUGGCACUGGGACAAUGCUCUGCUGAAGAGAGGCACAAAGGGAUUGUGCUUAGAAAGGAACACAUUUCUGCAGGACUGCCGGUAGGGCGUUUCUGCAACAAGAAAAGAAAACUCCUCUAUCAAGCUUUUCCUUAAAAUUACUCUAGAGGGAGUCAAAUCUAAAAGUUUAUUUAUCUUUAAAGUAUU